Long non-coding RNA from Balaenoptera ricei (Rice's whale), 480 nucleotides. RefSeq lists it as uncharacterized. NCBI's taxonomy places the organism in Eukaryota, Metazoa, Chordata, Mammalia, Artiodactyla, Balaenopteridae. The record is from RefSeq and is a predicted model, not a curated record. The transcript is spliced from 3 exons.
CCGUCGGGUCGGUGGUCCUCCGCAGCGGGGGAGGAGAGCGAGAAGGGGUUGGCCCGAAAGGGGUCGCGUUGGGAGGGCGGCUCCUCGCCUCCCUCACCGUACCCGCCCGUCUGCCCCUCCCGCGCCUCCCCCCGGGGCAACACCGUCCCCCGGUAUGGCCGCCCGAGGCGACCCCCGCCCGUCACCACGCCGCGUACCCGUGACCGUCAUGGUGAUCUCCCAGCGCGUCUCUCCCGCUCGACCUCCCCGCCACGUCCCUCAAGAUCUCCCUCCUCCACUUAUGGAACUGUCAGUCAUAUAGGCUUGACUCCAACUUCCACAGGAGUGAACAUAGAACAAAAGCUGGGCUAACCAACACUCUCCAGGGAAAAUUUUCUUGAGUGAUUAGAAAAAGGUGCACAAGGAACGAACUCAAACCGUUUGCCCUGGUGGCCCAUCUGUCUCCUGCCUCAGUACUACACAGCUCACAAAGAUGUUUUA